AAAGUUUGAUCCUGGCUCASAAUGAACGCUGGCGGCGUGCCUAACAYAUGCAAGUCGGAUGURCCCGCAAGGGUGCAUGGCAGACGGGUGAGUAACGCGUGGGGAACCUACCUCUUUGUGGGGAAUAACGUUCCGAAAGGAAUGGUAAUACCGCAUAARACCUUCAGCUGGGAUGUUGGAGGUGAAAGCUGGGGAUCGAAAGACCUASCGCGAGGARAGGGUCCUACGUCUGAUUAKCUAGUUGGCGGGGUAACGGCCCACCAAGGCAUCGAUCAGUAGCCGGCCUGAGAGGGUGAUCGGCCACACUGGAACUGASACACGGUCCAGACKSSURSGGGAGGCAGCCRUGGGGAAU
This 355-nucleotide ribosomal RNA is filed under the name uncultured bacterium. Its description in RNAcentral is "partial 16S ribosomal RNA". It matches the Rfam family "Bacterial small subunit ribosomal RNA", at positions 8 to 362 of the family's 1533-position model. The record is from RNAcentral.